GGCUUAGAGUUUGAUCAUGGCUCAGGAUGAACGCUGGCGGCAUGCCUAAGACAUGCAAGUCGAACGCGAGGGCCCAUUGAUAAUGAAGGAAAUGGAAAGUGCUUGCACUUAAAAUGGAAUUCAUUUGAUUUGGAUUUUCCCUCGAGUGGCAAACGGGUGAGUAACACGUGGGUUACCUGCCACUAUGUUGGGGAUAACAGUUGGAAACGAUUGCUAAUACCGAAUGUGCUCUUCGGAGUAAAGGAGCCCUUAAAGCUCCGCGUAGAGAUGGGCCUGCGGCGCAUUGGCUAGUUGGUGGGGCAAUGGCCUACCAAGGCAACGAUGCGUAGCCGAGCUGAGAGGUUGAUCGGCCACACUGGGACUGAGACACGGCCCAGACUCCUACGGGAGACAGCAGUUAGGAAUAUUCGUCAAUGGGGGAAACCCUGAACGAGCAAUGCCGCGUGUGUGAUGAAGGCCCUAUGGGUUGUAAAACACUGUUGUUUGGAAAGAAUUGCAUAAGUAGGAAAUGACUUAUGCUUGACGGUACCAUUCAAGAAAGCCACGGCUAACUACGUGCCAGCAGCCGCGGUAAUACGUAGGUGGCGAGCGUUAUCCGGAUUUAUUGGGCGUAAAGCGUGCGCAGGCGGUUUGUUAAGUCUAAAAUAAAAGCCCGGAGCUUAACUCCGGGUUCGUUUUAGAAACUGACAGACUCGAGUGUGGUAGAGGCAAACGGAAUUUCUAGUGUAGCGGUAAAUGCGUAGAUAUUAGAAGGAACACCAGUGGCGANCGGUUUGCUGGNNNUUACUGACGCUCAUGCACGAAGCGUGGGGAGCAAAUAGGAUAGAUACCUAGUAGUCCACGUCGUAACGAUGAGUACUAGNGUCGAUAC
Molecule: ribosomal RNA, 871 nt
Filed under: uncultured bacterium
Lineage: Bacteria
Description: bacterial SSU rRNA
Rfam family: Bacterial small subunit ribosomal RNA
Source: RNAcentral